RNAcentral lists this ribosomal RNA (449 nucleotides) under uncultured bacterium. Its description in RNAcentral is "partial 16S ribosomal RNA". It matches the Rfam family "Bacterial small subunit ribosomal RNA", at positions 29 to 523 of the family's 1533-position model. The record is from RNAcentral.
AACGAACGCUGGCGGCAGGCUUAAAACAUGCAAGUCGAACGAUAUCUUCGGAUCUAGUGGCAGACGGGUUAGGAACACGUGGGAACAUCCCUUUCAGUUCGGAAUAACGUUGGGAAACUAACGCUAAUACCGGAUACGUCCUUCGGGAGAAAGAUUUAUCGCUGAAAGAUUGGCCCGCGUCUGAUUAGCUAGUUGGUGAGGUAAUGGCUCACCAAGGCUACGAGCAGUAGAUGAUCUGAGAGGAUGAUCAGCCACAUUGGGACUGAGACACGGCCCAAACUCCUACGGGAGGCAGCAGUGGGGAAUAUUGGACAAUGGGCGCAAGCCUGAUCCAGCCAUGCCGCGUGAGUGAUGACGGCCUUCGGGUUGUAAAGCUCUUUUGUCCGGGAAGAUAAUGACUGUACCGGAAGAAUAAGCCCCGGCAAACUUCGUGCCAGCCGCCGCGGUAA